RNAcentral lists this long non-coding RNA (702 nucleotides) under Setaria viridis. RNAcentral's name for it is "long non-coding RNA (SVIR_LNC007060)". Lineage: Eukaryota; Viridiplantae; Streptophyta; Magnoliopsida; Poales; Poaceae. The record is from RNAcentral.
CAAUGGGUAAUUAUGAAUGUUUCAUCAAUUUUUCUCAAAUGCUGCAAAAGUCAAUACAUAAUGUUUUAUAUAUUGGUUUGAAAUUGACAUGUUGCAGAUCAUAUUUCAUCUUGCUGCAUCUAGCAUAUCGAUAUGUCAUGACCCUUUUUCCUGAGAAACCCUUGGGCGUUUUAAUCUAGCUCGAUUUUGUGAAGGAUAUGUGACAUGUUCAUGUGCCUAGGGAGGUGAUGCCUAAUCUUUAGCCAGUAAUGGAAAACUCGCAGUAUGUUUCAUGGCACAUGGUAUAAUGUUUCAAUGGGACACAAAGCAUUUAGAUAGGUUGCAGUGGGAUUUUUCUUUUGUGCUCAGAGCUUUGUUUUUUUGAAUGUUGCAUGUAACAUAAGGCACAUGUUGCAGCGGGACUUUCUCCUAUAUGCUCCACCAUCCGACGCUAGGUCCGGGCGCUAGCAACUCAUUCUUUCAAUGGUAGACAAUGUGCUCAUCGAUAGCAAGACGUUAGUGAUGACUUCAUCAACCUCGAGUAUAUGCUGGCUUAGUUUCUCAGAGAUUCUCAUUGGGUAAGGUUAUGUGCGUCCGUUUAUUUGAGCAUCUACUGUAUUUCGAAAAAAAAUAUCUAUCUCCAGAACCCGGACUUCACCGUAACCUUUUUUUUCAUCCUGAAUUAUUGAUCAUUUAUGCAUAGCAAGGCCCAUCCUUUCCCCG